Molecule: long non-coding RNA, 224 nt
Filed under: Olea europaea (common olive)
Lineage: Eukaryota; Viridiplantae; Streptophyta; Magnoliopsida; Lamiales; Oleaceae
Description: long non-coding RNA (OEUR_LNC005931)
Source: RNAcentral
UUGUUGUCGUGUGUUUGUAGAUUCAAUCUACAUCAUUUUGGUAUCAGAGCAUGGUGCGUGGGAGAGGACGUGGUGGUCGUGGUGGCCGUGGUGGCCAGAUUGAUGAAGUUGCAGAUCUGCGUAAUCAAGUUGAGGCGUUGACAAUCCGAUUUGAUCAAUUCAUGACGUGGGCGGCAGAGGUUGUGCAGAACGGAACACCUCCUGCUCUUCCACGUCGUGCCCCA